GUUUUAAUAGUUUAUUAAAAACAUUGGUCUUGUAAAUCAAAAAAAAAGAUUUUUCUUUUAAAACU
RNAcentral lists this transfer RNA (65 nucleotides) under Micromus angulatus. Its description in RNAcentral is "tRNA-Thr". It matches the Rfam family "tRNA". Rfam says of the family: Transfer RNA (tRNA) molecules are approximately 80 nucleotides in length. Lineage: Eukaryota; Metazoa; Arthropoda; Insecta; Neuroptera; Hemerobiidae. The record is from RNAcentral.